RNAcentral lists this ribosomal RNA (1542 nucleotides) under Escherichia coli. Its description in RNAcentral is "bacterial SSU rRNA". It matches the Rfam family "Bacterial small subunit ribosomal RNA". Lineage: Bacteria; Pseudomonadati; Pseudomonadota; Gammaproteobacteria; Enterobacterales; Enterobacteriaceae. The record is from RNAcentral.
AAAUUGAAGAGUUUGAUCAUGGCUCAGAUUGAACGCUGGCGGCAGGCCUAACACAUGCAAGUCGAACGGUAACAGGAAGCAGCUUGCUGCUUUGCUGACGAGUGGCGGACGGGUGAGUAAUGUCUGGGAAACUGCCUGAUGGAGGGGGAUAACUACUGGAAACGGUAGCUAAUACCGCAUAACGUCGCAAGACCAAAGAGGGGGACCUUAGGGCCUCUUGCCAUCGGAUGUGCCCAGAUGGGAUUAGCUAGUAGGUGGGGUAAUGGCUCACCUAGGCGACGAUCCCUAGCUGGUCUGAGAGGAUGACCAGCCACACUGGAACUGAGACACGGUCCAGACUCCUACGGGAGGCAGCAGUGGGGAAUAUUGCACAAUGGGCGCAAGCCUGAUGCAGCCAUGCCGCGUGUAUGAAGAAGGCCUUCGGGUUGUAAAGUACUUUCAGCGGGGAGGAAGGGAGUAAAGUUAAUACCUUUGCUCAUUGACGUUACCCGCAGAAGAAGCACCGGCUAACUCCGUGCCAGCAGCCGCGGUAAUACGGAGGGUGCAAGCGUUAAUCGGAAUUACUGGGCGUAAAGCGCACGCAGGCGGUUUGUUAAGUCAGAUGUGAAAUCCCCGGGCUCAACCUGGGAACUGCAUCUGAUACUGGCAAGCUUGAGUCUCGUAGAGGGGGGUAGAAUUCCAGGUGUAGCGGUGAAAUGCGUAGAGAUCUGGAGGAAUACCGGUGGCGAAGGCGGCCCCCUGGACGAAGACUGACGCUCAGGUGCGAAAGCGUGGGGAGCAAACAGGAUUAGAUACCCUGGUAGUCCACGCCGUAAACGAUGUCGACUUGGAGGUUGUGCCCUUGAGGCGUGGCUUCCGGAGCUAACGCGUUAAGUCGACCGCCUGGGGAGUACGGCCGCAAGGUUAAAACUCAAAUGAAUUGACGGGGGCCCGCACAAGCGGUGGAGCAUGUGGUUUAAUUCGAUGCAACGCGAAGAACCUUACCUGGUCUUGACAUCCACGGAAGUUUUCAGAGAUGAGAAUGUGCCUUCGGGAACCGUGAGACAGGUGCUGCAUGGCUGUCGUCAGCUCGUGUUGUGAAAUGUUGGGUUAAGUCCCGCAACGAGCGCAACCCUUAUCCUUUGUUGCCAGCGGUCCGGCCGGGAACUCAAAGGAGACUGCCAGUGAUAAACUGGAGGAAGGUGGGGAUGACGUCAAGUCAUCAUGGCCCUUACGACCAGGGCUACACACGUGCUACAAUGGCGCAUACAAAGAGAAGCGACCUCGCGAGAGCAAGCGGACCUCAUAAAGUGCGUCGUAGUCCGGAUUGGAGUCUGCAACUCGACUCCAUGAAGUCGGAAUCGCUAGUAAUCGUGGAUCAGAAUGCCACGGUGAAUACGUUCCCGGGCCUUGUACACACCGCCCGUCACACCAUGGGAGUGGGUUGCAAAAGAAGUAGGUAGCUUAACCUUCGGGAGGGCGCUUACCACUUUGUGAUUCAUGACUGGGGUGAAGUCGUAACAAGGUAACCGUAGGGGAACCUGCGGUUGGAUCACCUCCUUA